This 301-nucleotide ribosomal RNA is filed under the name uncultured bacterium. RNAcentral's name for it is "partial 16S ribosomal RNA". It matches the Rfam family "Bacterial small subunit ribosomal RNA", at positions 509 to 809 of the family's 1533-position model. The record is from RNAcentral.
CAGUCGCCGCGGGAAUACAUAGGGUGCGAGCGUUAAUCGGAUUUACUGGGCGUAAAGCGUGCGUAGGCGGCUUCUUAAGUCGGAUGUGAAAUCCCUGAGCUUAACUUAGGAAUUGCAUUCGAUACUGGGAAGCUAGAGUAUGGGAGAGGAUGGUAGAAUUCCAGGUGUAGCGGUGAAAUGCGUAGAGAUCUGGAGGAAUACCGAUGGCGAAGGCAGCCAUCUGGCCUAAUACUGACGCUGAGGUACGAAAGCAUGUGGAGCAAACAGGAUUAGAUACCCCCGUAGUCCCUGUCUCUUAUAA